CCUACGGGAGGCAGCAGUGAGGAAUAUUGGUCAAUGGACGAGAGUCUGAACCAGCCAAGUCGCGUGAAGGAUGACUGCCCUAUGGGUUGUAAACUUCUUUUAUAUGGGAAUAAAAUGUUCCACGUGUGGGUUUUUGUAUGUACCAUAUGAAUAAGGAUCGGCUAACUCCGUGCCAGCAGCCGCGGUAAUACGGAGGAUCCGAGCGUUAUCCGGAUUUAUUGGGUUUAAAGGGAGCGUAGGUGGAUUGUUAAGUCAGUUGUGAAAGUUUGCGGCUCAACCGUAAAAUUGCAGUUGAAACUGGCAGUCUUGAGUACAGUAGAGGUGUGCGGAAUGCGUGGUGUAGCGGUGAAAUGCUUAGAUAUCACGAAGAACUCCGAUUGCGAAGGCAGCUCACUGGACUGCAACUGACACUGAGGCUCGAAAGUGUGGGUAUCAAACAGGAUUAGAUACCCUUGUAGUC
Molecule: ribosomal RNA, 460 nt
Filed under: uncultured bacterium
Lineage: Bacteria
Description: partial 16S ribosomal RNA
Rfam family: Bacterial small subunit ribosomal RNA
Source: RNAcentral